CUAACAUGCAGUCGAGCGAUCUGUAGCAAUACAGGGAGUGGAGGACGGGUGAGGGGCACGUAAGAAUCUACCUCGAAGAGCGUGACACCUUUGGGAAACCGGGGCUAAUACCGCAUAGUACAGAGAUGUUAAAGGGCUAGCACUAGUCGCUUCGAGAUUAGCCUGCGGUCUAUCAGCUUGUUGGUUAGGGAAUGGCUCACCAAGGCUGACAAGCAUAGCCGGUCUUAAAGGAUGAUCCGCCACACUGGCACUGGAACACCGGCCAGACUCCUACGGGAGGGAGCCG
RNAcentral lists this ribosomal RNA (286 nucleotides) under uncultured bacterium. Its description in RNAcentral is "partial 16S ribosomal RNA". It matches the Rfam family "Bacterial small subunit ribosomal RNA", at positions 53 to 354 of the family's 1533-position model. The record is from RNAcentral.